UGGGGAAUUUUGGACAAUGGGGGAAACCCUGAUCCAGCCAUCCCGCGUGUGCGAUGAAGGCCUUCGGGUUGUAAAGCACUUUUGGCAGGAAAGAAACGUCGCGGGUUAAUACCCCGCGAAACUGACGGUACCUGCAGAAUAAGCACCGGCUAACUACGUGCCAGCAGCCGCGGUAAUACGUAGGGUGCAAGCGUUAAUCGGAAUUACUGGGCGUAAAGCGUGCGCAGGCGGUUCGGAAAGAAAGAUGUGAAAUCCCAGAGCUUAACUUUGGAACUGCAUUUUUAACUACCGGGCUAGAGUGUGUCAGAGGGAGGUGGAAUUCCGCGUGUAGCAGUGAAAUGCGUAGAUAUGCGGAGGAACACCGAUGGCGAAGGCAGCCUCCUGGGAUAACACUGACGCUCAUGCACGAAAGCGUGGGGAGCAAACAGGAUUAGAUACCCUGGUAGUCCACGCCCUAAACGAUGUCAACUAGCUGUUGGGGCCUUUCGGGCCUUGGUAGCGCAGCUAACGCGUGAAGUUGACCCG
RNAcentral lists this ribosomal RNA (525 nucleotides) under uncultured bacterium. Its description in RNAcentral is "partial 16S ribosomal RNA". It matches the Rfam family "Bacterial small subunit ribosomal RNA", at positions 355 to 871 of the family's 1533-position model. The record is from RNAcentral.